RNAcentral lists this ribosomal RNA (468 nucleotides) under uncultured bacterium. Its description in RNAcentral is "partial 16S ribosomal RNA". It matches the Rfam family "Bacterial small subunit ribosomal RNA", at positions 28 to 507 of the family's 1533-position model. The record is from RNAcentral.
GACGAACGCUGGCGGCGUGCUUAACACAUGCAAGUCGAACGGAAAGGCCCUGCUUUUGUGGGGUGCUCGAGUGGCGAACGGGUGAGUAACACGUGUGUAACCUGCCCUUGUCUUUGGGAUAACUUCAGGAAACUGGGGCUAAUACCGGAUAGGAGCUCCUGCUCCAUGGUGGGGGUUGGAAAGUUUCGGCGGUUGGGGAUGGACUCGCGGCUUAUCGGCUUGUUUGUGGGGUAGUGGCUUACCAAGGGUUUGACGGGUAGCCGGCCUGAGAGGGUGACCGGCGACAUGGGGACUAAGAUAGGGCCCAGUCGCCUACGGGAGGCAGCAGUGGGGAGUAUGGCACAGUGGGCGGAAGCCUGAUGCGGCAACGCCGCGUUCGGGAUGACGGCCUUCGGGUUGUGAACCGCUUUCGCCUGUGACGAAGCGUGAGUGACGGUAAUGAAUAAAGAAGCACCGGCUAACUACGUG